CAAAGUGCCUCCCUUUAGAGUG
Molecule: microRNA, 22 nt
Filed under: Gorilla gorilla (western gorilla)
Lineage: Eukaryota; Metazoa; Chordata; Mammalia; Primates; Hominidae
Also listed under: 4 other names
Description: ggo-miR-519d
Gene: ggo-miR-519d
Source: miRBase by way of RNAcentral